GUCUGGGAACUGCCUGAUGGAGGGGGAUAACUACUGGAAACGGUAGCUAAUACCGCAUAACGUCGCAAGACCAAAGAGGGGGACCUUCGGGCCUCUUGCCAUCGGAUGUGCCCAGAUGGGAUUAGCUAGUAGGUGGGGUAACGGCUCACCUAGGCGACGAUCCCUAGCUGGUCUGAGAGGAUGACCAGCCACACUGGAACUGAGACACGGUCCAGACUCCUACGGGAGGCAGCAGUGGGGAAUAUUGCACAAUGGGCGCAAGCCUGAUGCAGCCAUGCCGCGUGUAUGAAGAAGGCCUUCGGGUUGUAAAGUACUUUCAGCGGGGAGGAAGGGAGUAAAGUUAAUACCUUUGCUCAUUGACGUUACCCGCAGAAGAAGCACCGGCUAACUCCGUGCCAGCAGCCGCGGUAAUACGGAGGGUGCAAGCGUUAAUCGGAAUUACUGGGCGUAAAGCGCACGCAGGCGGUUUGUUAAGUCAGAUGUGAAAUCCCCCG
RNAcentral lists this ribosomal RNA (494 nucleotides) under Escherichia coli. Its description in RNAcentral is "bacterial SSU rRNA". It matches the Rfam family "Bacterial small subunit ribosomal RNA", at positions 115 to 606 of the family's 1533-position model. Lineage: Bacteria; Pseudomonadati; Pseudomonadota; Gammaproteobacteria; Enterobacterales; Enterobacteriaceae. The record is from RNAcentral.